This 1495-nucleotide ribosomal RNA is filed under the name Escherichia coli. RNAcentral describes it as "partial 23S ribosomal RNA". It matches the Rfam family "Bacterial large subunit ribosomal RNA", at positions 1 to 1529 of the family's 2925-position model. Lineage: Bacteria; Pseudomonadati; Pseudomonadota; Gammaproteobacteria; Enterobacterales; Enterobacteriaceae. The record is from RNAcentral.
GGGUUGUGAGGUUAAGCGACUAAGCGUACACGGUGGAUGCCCUGGCAGUCAGAGGCGAUGAAGGACGUGCUAAUCUGCGAUAAGCGUCGGUAAGGUGAUAUGAACCGUUAUAACCGGCGAUUUCCGAAUGGGGAAACCCAGUGUGUUUCGACACACUAUCAUUAACUGAAUCCAUAGGUUAAUGAGGCGAACCGGGGGAACUGAAACAUCUAAGUACCCCGAGGAAAAGAAAUCAACCGAGAUUCCCCCAGUAGCGGCGAGCGAACGGGGAGCAGCCCAGAGCCUGAAUCAGUAUGUGUGUUAGUGGAAGCGUCUGGAAAGGCGCGCGAUACAGGGUGACAGCCCCGUACACAAAAAUGCACAUGCUGUGAGCUCGAUGAGUAGGGCGGGACACGUGGUAUCCUGUCUGAAUAUGGGGGGACCAUCCUCCAAGGCUAAAUACUCCUGACUGACCGAUAGUGAACCAGUACCGUGAGGGAAAGGCGAAAAGAACCCCGGCGAGGGGAGUGAAAAAGAACCUGAAACCGUGUACGUACAAGCAGUGGGAGCACAGAGCAAUCUGUGUGACUGCGUACCUUUUGUAUAAUGGGUCAGCGACUUAUAUUCUGUAGCAAGGUUAACCGAAUAGGGGAGCCGAAGGGAAACCGAGUCUUAACUGGGCGUUAAGUUGCAGGGUAUAGACCCGAAACCCGGUGAUCUAGCCAUGGGCAGGUUGAAGGUUGGGUAACACUAACUGGAGGACCGAACCGACUAAUGUUGAAAAAUUAGCGGAUGACUUGUGGCUGGGGGUGAAAGGCCAAUCAAACCGGGAGAUAGCUGGUUCUCCCCGAAAGCUAUUUAGGUAGCGCCUCGUGAAUUCAUCUCCGGGGGUAGAGCACUGUUUCGGCAAGGGGGUCAUCCCGACUUACCAACCCGAUGCAAACUGCGAAUACCGGAGAAUGUUAUCACGGGAGACACACGGCGGGUGCUAACGUCCGUCGUGAAGAGGGAAACAACCCAGACCGCCAGCUAAGGUCCCAAAGUCAUGGUUAAGUGGGAAACGAUGUGGGAAGGCCCAGACAGCCAGGAUGUUGGCUUAGAAGCAGCCAUCAUUUAAAGAAAGCGUAAUAGCUCACUGGUCGAGUCGGCCUGCGCGGAAGAUGUAACGGGGCUAAACCAUGCACCGAAGCUGCGGCAGCGACGCUGAUGCGUUGUUGGGUAGGGGAGCGUUCUGUAAGCCUGCGAAGGUGUGCUGUGAGGCAUGCUGGAGGUAUCAGAAGUGCGAAUGCUGACAUAAGUAACGAUAAAGCGGGUGAAAAGCCCGCUCGCCGGAAGACCAAGGGUUCCUGUCCAACGUUAAUCGGGGCAGGGUGAGUCGACCCCUAAGGCGAGGCCGAAAGGCGUAGUCGAUGGGAAACAGGUUAAUAUUCCUGUACUUGGUGUUACUGCGAAGGGGGGACGGAGAAGGCUAUGUUGGCCGGGCGACGGUUGUCCCGGUUUAAGCGUGUAGGCUGGU